UACAGAGGGGGCAAGCGUUGUUCGGAAUUACUGGGCGUAAAGGGCGCGUAGGUGGCCUUCUAAGUUGAACGUGAAAUCCCUGAGCUCAACCCAGGAACUGCGUCCAAGACUGGGAGGCUUGAAUCCGGGAGAGGGAUGCGGAAUUCCAGGUGUAGCGGUGAAAUGCGUAGAUAUCAGGAGGAACACCGGUGGCGAAGGCGGCAUCCUGGGCCGGCAUUGACGCUGAGGCGCGAAAGCCAGGGGAGCAAACGGG
This 253-nucleotide ribosomal RNA is filed under the name uncultured bacterium. RNAcentral's name for it is "partial 16S ribosomal RNA". It matches the Rfam family "Bacterial small subunit ribosomal RNA", at positions 524 to 776 of the family's 1533-position model. The record is from RNAcentral.